This 429-nucleotide ribosomal RNA is filed under the name uncultured bacterium. Its description in RNAcentral is "bacterial SSU rRNA". It matches the Rfam family "Bacterial small subunit ribosomal RNA", at positions 28 to 455 of the family's 1533-position model. The record is from RNAcentral.
GAUGAACGCUAGCGGCAGGCCUAACACAUGCAAGUCGAACGGCAGCACGAACUUCGGUUUGGUGGCGAGUGGCGCACGGGUGCGUAACGCGUAUGCAACCUACCCUUUACAGGGGGAUAGCCCAGAGAAAUUUGGAUUAAUACCCCAUCGCAUAUGGAAUCGGCAUCGGUUUCAUAUUAAAGUUUCGGCGGUAAGGGAUGGGCAUGCGUUCUAUUAGCUAGUAGGUGCGGUAACGGCGCACCUAGGCUACGAUAGAUAGGGGCCCUGAGAGGGGGAUCCCCCACACUGGUACUGAGACACGGACCAGACUCCUACGGGAGGCAGCAGUGAGGAAUAUUGGACAAUGGGCGAGAGCCUGAUCCAGCCAUGCCGCGUGCAGGAAGACUGCCCUAUGGGUUGUAAACUGCUUUUAUACGGGAAGAAACACCG